RNAcentral lists this ribosomal RNA (793 nucleotides) under uncultured bacterium. Its description in RNAcentral is "bacterial SSU rRNA". It matches the Rfam family "Bacterial small subunit ribosomal RNA", at positions 8 to 796 of the family's 1533-position model. The record is from RNAcentral.
AGAGUUUGAUCAUGGCUCAGAUUGAACGCUGGCGGCAUGCUUGACACAUGCAAGUCGAACGGCAGCGCGGGCUUCGGCCUGGCGGCGAGUGGCGAACGGGUGAGUAAUACAUCGGAACGUGUCUGUUAGAGGGGGAUAGCCCGACGAAAGUCGGAUUAAUACCGCAUACGCUCUACGGAGGAAAGCGGGGGACCUUCGGGCCUCGCGCUAACAGGGCGGCCGAUGUCAGAUUAGCUUGUUGGUGGGGUAAAGGCCUACCAAGGCAGUGAUCUGUAGUUGGUCUGAGAGGAUGGCCAGCCACACUGGGACUGAGACACGGCCCAGACUCCUACGGGAGGCAGCAGUGGGGAGUUUUGGACAAUGGGGGCAACCCUGAUCCAGCAAUGCCGCGUGUGUGAAGAAGGCCUUCGGGUUGUAAAGCACUUUUGUUCGGGAAGAAAAUAUCUGUGCGAAUACCAUGGAUAGAUGACGGUACCGGAAGAAUAAGCACCGGCUAACUACGUGCCAGCAGCCGCGGUAAUACGUAGGGUGCGAGCGUUAAUCGGAAUAAUUGGGCGUAAAGGGUGCGCAGGCGGUAAGCUAAGACGGAUGUGAAAGCCCCGGGCUCAACCUGGGAAUGGCAUACGUGACUGGCUCACUAGAAUAUGGCAGAGGGAGGUAGAAUUCCACAUGUAGCAGUGAAAUGCGUAGAUAUGUGGAGGAACACCGAUGGCGAAGGCAGCCUCCUGGGUCAAUAUUGACGCUCAGGCACGAAAGCGUGGGGAGCAAACAGGAUUAGAUACCCCCGUAGUCC